Molecule: ribosomal RNA, 438 nt
Filed under: uncultured bacterium
Lineage: Bacteria
Description: bacterial SSU rRNA
Rfam family: Bacterial small subunit ribosomal RNA
Source: RNAcentral
GAWUUAUUGGGCGUAAAGCGGGCGCAGACGGUUACUUAAGCAGGAUGUGAAAUCCCCGGGCUCAACCUGGGAAUUGCGUUYUGAACUGGGUGASUAGAGUGUGUCAGAGGGAGGUAGAWUUCCACGUGUAGCAGUGAAAUGCGUAGAKAUGUGGAGGAAUACCGAUGGCGAAGGCAGCCUCCUGGGAUAACACUGACGUUCAUGCCCGAAAGCGUGGGUAGCAAACAGGAUUAGAUWCCCUGGUAGUCCACGCCCUAAACGAUGUCGAUUAGCUGGUUGUCGGCAGCACUGCUUAGUAGCGAAGYUAACGCGUGAAAUCGACCGCCUGGGGAGUACGGUCGCAAGAUUAAAACUCAAAGGAAUUGACGGGGACCCGCACAAGCGGUGGAUGAUGUGGAUUAAUUCGAUGCAACGCGAAGAACCUUACCKGUCUUGACA